This 431-nucleotide ribosomal RNA is filed under the name bacterium RP1. RNAcentral's name for it is "bacterial SSU rRNA". It matches the Rfam family "Bacterial small subunit ribosomal RNA", at positions 69 to 452 of the family's 1533-position model. The record is from RNAcentral.
ACCUACCCAUUUUCGUCUAUCUGCAGUCGACGCUUCUUUCCUCCGAGCGCUUGCUCUCAUUGGAAAGAGGAUUGUUUAAAAGAAAGUAACACGUGGGUAACCUACCCAUCAGAGGGGCAUCUACUUGGAAACAGGUGCUAAUACCGCAUAACAGAUUAUGCCGCAUGGCAUAAAAGUGAAAGGCGCUUUCGCGUGUCCCUCAUGGAUGGACCCGCGGUGCAUUAUCUAGUUGGAGAGGUAACGUCUCCCAAGUCCACUAUGCAUACCCCACCUGAGGGGUGAUCGCUCACUCUGGCACUGAGACACGGCCCACACUCCUACGGGAGGCAGCUGUGGGGAAUCUUCGGCAGUGGACGAAUGUCUGACCGAGCAACCCCGCGUGUGAGAAGAGUGUUUGGAGAUCAUAAAACUCUGUUGUUAGAUAAGCUCAG